Molecule: ribosomal RNA, 229 nt
Filed under: uncultured bacterium
Lineage: Bacteria
Description: partial 16S ribosomal RNA
Rfam family: Bacterial small subunit ribosomal RNA
Source: RNAcentral
UGCGCAGGCGGACUAAUAAGUCAGAGGUGAAAUCCUACAGCUUAACUGUAGAACUGCCUUUGAUACUGUUAGUCUUGAGUGCAGUUGAGGUAGGCGGAAUGUGUCAUGUAGCGGUGAAAUGCUUAGAUAUGACACAGAACACCGAUCGUGAAGACAGCUUACCAAGCUGCUACUGACGCUCAUGCACGAAAGCGUGGGGAGCGAACAGGAUUAGAUACCCUGGUAGUCC